RNAcentral lists this ribosomal RNA (254 nucleotides) under uncultured bacterium. Its description in RNAcentral is "partial 16S ribosomal RNA". It matches the Rfam family "Bacterial small subunit ribosomal RNA", at positions 524 to 776 of the family's 1533-position model. The record is from RNAcentral.
UACGUAGGGGGCGAGCGUUGUCCGGAUUUAUUGGGCGUAAAGAGCUCGUAGGCGGUUUGGUAAGUCGGGUGUGAAAUCUCCACGCUCAACGUGGAGGGGCCACUCGAUACUGCCAUGACUAGAGUCCGGUAGAGGAGCGUGGAAUUCCCGGUGUAGCGGUGAAAUGCGCAGAUAUCGGGAGGAACACCCGUGGCGAAGGCGGCGCUCUGGGCCGGUACUGACGCUGAGGAGCGAAAGCGUGGGGAGCAAACAGG